UUGGAUAUGGUGGAGAAGGUGGCUUGCCGUUAGGUCAAAGGCCUGAAAGUGGAUUACUGUAUACAUCUUCUGGAAUGUGAAAACCAACUGUGGAGAUUUACUUACAUCAUGGUGAGAGUUGCCACCCAGCUCUCCUUGGAGGCACCUCCCGGGGCAGUUGUAAGGAGCCCUGAUAAAGAUUUAUGUGGUUUGUUUGCCUUCCCCAAGCCUUUGAAGACCAACAGAGGAGGUAAUGUUUAUGGUUGGUUGGUUAACAGUACAGCUCUCUGGGGUCUCCUUCUGCGACCCCUGGGCUGA
RNAcentral lists this long non-coding RNA (297 nucleotides) under Mustela putorius furo (domestic ferret). Its description in RNAcentral is "lncRNA (ENSMPUG00000024459.1)". The record is from RNAcentral. Lineage: Eukaryota; Metazoa; Chordata; Mammalia; Carnivora; Mustelidae.